AUGAGACAAAAGAUUAUCUUUUUAAAGAGAUUCGAUUCGGAACUCUUAUAUGUCCAAGGUCAAUAUGGAAAUUCUUUCAGAGGUUUUCCCUUACUUUUUCCGUGUCAACAAACAAUUCGAAAUACCUCGACUAGGUUCUCCAGAUUUAACCAAAACCGUGCACCCGCGUACGCCCGCGCACGUGGGGAGGGCUCGGAGCACGCGCGCGGUGCUGUACGUGGACGCCAUGGCCCGGAUGAGGUGCCGGCAAAGAAGGACACGUGUCGCACGAUGCACUCGUCCCGAAACCAUGUGUCCAAAGAGCGGACUCGACGGCGUACCUGGGUCGUAGAACAUGUCGUUUGGCAGGAGGCGGCGGCGGCGUUCGAUCUCCUCGCGGCGGGCACGGACGCUCGUCGGGACCGGCGGGAUCGGCACCUGGUCCGCGGACAUAUGCCAGUUAUUGGGCAGGUGAACGUCGCUCCAGGGGAGCGGCGUCCUCGUCUCCCAAUAAUGACGGCAAAUAUUGAUGACCCACAGGUAUAG
RNAcentral lists this ribosomal RNA (525 nucleotides) under Triticum aestivum (bread wheat). Its description in RNAcentral is "partial small subunit ribosomal RNA". Lineage: Eukaryota; Viridiplantae; Streptophyta; Magnoliopsida; Poales; Poaceae. The record is from RNAcentral.